Molecule: ribosomal RNA, 380 nt
Filed under: uncultured bacterium
Lineage: Bacteria
Description: partial 16S ribosomal RNA
Rfam family: Bacterial small subunit ribosomal RNA
Source: RNAcentral
CCUACGGGGGGCAGCAGUGGGGGAUAUUGGUCAAUGGGGGAAACCCUGAACCAGCAACGCCGCGUGAGGGAAGACGGCCUUCGGGUUGUAAACCUACGUGUUUAGGGAUGAAACAACUGACAGUACCUGACAAGCAAGCUACGGCUAACUACGUGCCAGCAGCCACGGUAAUACGGAGGGAGCAAGCGUUGUCCGGAAUUACUGGGGGUAAAGGGUGCGUAGGCGGGAUCACAAGUAAGGCGUUAAAUACCGGGGCUCAAAUCCGGGGCAGCGCUUGAAACUGGGUAUCUUGAGUGAAGUAGAGGCAGGCGGAAUGCCUAGUGUAGCGGUGAAAUGCGUAGAUAUUAGGCAGAACCCCGAUUGCGAAGGCAGCCUGCUGG